Molecule: RNA transcript, 2041 nt
Organism: Vigna unguiculata (cowpea)
Lineage: Eukaryota; Viridiplantae; Streptophyta; Magnoliopsida; Fabales; Fabaceae
Gene name: glucan endo-1,3-beta-glucosidase 7-like
Source: RefSeq, a predicted model, not a curated record
UUCACAACACAUCUUCAUUCACACAGAGCAAAGUUGACAAAAGAAAACACAGUUCUCAAAUGGCAAAUUCGCUCGCUAUUCUUCUUCAGUUUCUUCCUUUCUUUCUUGUAUUUAACCAUGCAAGUUCGGAGUCGUUCAUCGGCGUGAACUAUGGGCAAGUCGCCGACAACCUGCCGCCGCCUUCGGCGACGGCGAAGCUGCUCCAAUCGACGGCGAUAGGGAAAGUGCGGUUGUACGGAACCGACCCGGCGAUCAUAAAAGCGCUGGCGAACACGGGAAUAGGAAUCGUGAUCGGCGCGGCGAACGGCGACAUACCGGGCCUGGCGUCGGACCCGAACUUCGCGAAAACGUGGGUGAACACCAACGUGGUGCCGUACUAUCCCGCGAGCAACAUCAUCCUCGUGACUGUUGGCAACGAAGUGAUAACCUCGAACGACGCGGGCCUCGUGAACCAGAUGCUGCCGGCGAUCCAGAACGUGCAGGGCGCGCUGGAGGCGGCCUCUCUCGGCGGCAAGAUCAAGGUGUCGACGGUGCACUCGAUGGCGGUUCUGAGGGACUCGGAGCCUCCCUCCGCCGGAAGGUUCCACCCUGAGUACGACACCGUUUUGCAGGGGCUGUUGUCGUUUAACAAUGCCACGGGCUCGCCCUUCGCCAUCAACCCUUAUCCCUACUUCGCCUACAGAAGCGACCCUGGCAGAGCCGAUAACCUUGCUUUCUGCCUCUUUCAGCCUAACGCCGGCCGAAUUGACUCUAACACCAACAUCAAGUACAUGAACAUGUUCGAUGCUCAGGUGGAUGCGGUUCGAUCAGCGUUGGAUUCUCUGGGGUUUAAGAAUGUUGAGAUUGUGGUUGCAGAGACAGGAUGGCCCUACAAGGGAGACAGCAAUGAAGCUGGUCCAAGUCUUGAGAAUGCUAAGGCUUAUAAUGGUAAUCUCAUUGCACACCUUCGAUCUAUGGUUGGGACUCCAUUGAUGCCUGGAAAAUCAGUGGACACGUACCUGUUUGCUCUGUAUGAUGAAGACUUGAAGCCCGGUGCUGCUUCUGAGAGAGCCUUUGGACUCUUCAACCCUGAUCAAACCAUGAUCUAUGAUGCAGGCCUCACCAAACAGCAACAAACCAGUAGCCCCGUGCCAGUAGUUGCUCCGACUCCGGAUGUGUCAAAACCUCCAGUGAUACCAGCGCCAACAGACCCGGGUCAGACACAAAAAUCUCCGGUGAUUCCAGCGCCAGUAGGCCCGGGUCCAACACCAAAUAGUGCAGAAUUCUUGAGUGGACAUGAAGCCACCAUUUUGCAGUCUUUAAUAAUGUUCACAGUUCUCAUCUUAAUGUUGUUCUAGCUUGUGGUAUUUAAUAUAAUAUGUUUCUUAAUUUCAUUGAAGACCACUCCGGAUGUGUCAAAAUCUCCCAUGACUCCAAAGCCAACAACAGUUCCAAGUCCAACCAAAACAAAUAGUAGUGCAACCUGGUGUGUGCCGAAAGCAGGAGUGUCAGAGGAACAGUUGCAAGCAAAUUUGGACUAUGCUUGUGGGCAGGGGAUUGAUUGUGCUGCAAUUCAACAAGGAGGUGCUUGUUUUGAACCUAACACUUUACUAAACCAUGCUGCAUAUGCCAUGAAUCUAUUGUAUCAAACUGCUGGACGGAAUCCAUUGAGUUGUGAUUUCUCGCAAACAGCCAUGUUAUCAACAAAUAAUCCAAGUUACAAGAGUUGUCUUUAUGCCGGUGGAAAUGCCUAACCAAAAUAACAAGAAAGUAGAUAAAGGAGGGCACUUUUUGUUGUUUAAAUUAUUCUGUCUUAAUUGCCAAGAAUUCUCCCUGGUUGGUUCUUUGAGUGCUGUGUAGUAAUAAUAGGAGAGUGUGCAUGUAUGAGGAGGAUCCUCCUCUAUUUAUAGUGUCACAUUUUUUAAUGUCAUUAUCGGAAGCAAAUUGAUGCUUUGUUAAUGUGGGAACUGUGAAGUGUGGAUUAUAUGUUUGUUUUCAUUUGAAACAUCGGGGUCCAUUGUGUAUAUACUGACUUAGUAAUAUGUUUGUUUCCCUCACUUAA